GUGCGCGCUCUUCGUUAUUUAUCUUCCCUAUUGAACAUACUAUUCUCCAUCUUAAAUUUGAUCGUUUAUUUACAUAUUAGAGUACCUGAGGAUUAAUUAGAAACAUCGUUUGACUUGUUUGGACGAACUUUACCAGUAACUUUUUGGAUUCAUUUGCAUUUGGAUUAGUGAAGUCAAUGGCGUCAACUAAACAGACUUUUUUGGAUAUAAAGAAUGACUUUAUCAAACAAAACAACCAUUCAUUGUGUAGCUGGGACCCUUGGGAUUGCAAACAGAGGAAGAUCUUCAAAGAUUUAUCCUCAUUAAUCUGGUUGGAAGCACCUGGCCCUGCUCAUAAACAAUGUGGAGUUUGAUGAUGACAACAUGCUGAGGAGAGUGGUGGAGAAGGACUAGGUGAACAUGGACACACAGGAACCUGUCUGGCCAGGUCAUGCAUCGCUUUGAACAAGAUCCCAAACCAGAUGUCAACCACUCUAACAAAGGACUUCCCGGGCCUCUGAGAAUCAAAAACAGAUAUCAACCACUCUAACAAAGGACUUCCCAGGCCUCUGAGAAUCCCAAACCAGAUGUCAACCACUCUAACAAAGGACUUCCCGGGCCUCUGAGAAUCCCAAACCAGAUGUCAACCACUCUAACAAAGGACUUCCCGGGCCUCUGAGAAUCCCAAACCAGAUGUCAACCACUCUAACAAAGGACUUCCCAGGCCUCUGAGAAUCCCAAACCAGAUGCCAACAACUCUAACAAAGGACUUCCCAGGCCUCUGAGAAUCCCAAACCAGAUGUCAAC
RNAcentral lists this long non-coding RNA (786 nucleotides) under Salmo salar (Atlantic salmon). RNAcentral's name for it is "lncRNA (ENSSSAG00000120996.1)". Lineage: Eukaryota; Metazoa; Chordata; Actinopteri; Salmoniformes; Salmonidae. The record is from RNAcentral.